Molecule: ribosomal RNA, 1341 nt
Filed under: uncultured bacterium
Lineage: Bacteria
Description: partial 16S ribosomal RNA
Rfam family: Bacterial small subunit ribosomal RNA
Source: RNAcentral
GACGAGCUCUGGCGGCGUGCUUAACACAUGCAAGUCGAACGGUAAGGCUCCAGCUUGCUGGGGUACACGAGUGGCGAACGGGUGAGUAACACGUGGGUGACCUGCCCUGCACUUCGGGAUAAGCCUGGGAAACUGGGUCUAAUACCGGAUAGGACCGCACCGUGAGGGUGUGGUGGAAAGUUUUUUCGGUGUGGGAUGGGCCCGCGGCCUAUCAGCUUGUUGGUGGGGUAAUGGCCUACCAAGGCGGCGACGGGUAGCCGGCCUGAGAGGGUGGACGGCCACAUUGGGACUGAGACACGGCCCAGACUCCUACGGGAGGCAGCAGUGGGGAAUAUUGCACAAUGGGCGGAAGCCUGAUGCAGCGACGCCGCGUGGGGGAUGACGGCCUUCGGGUUGUAAACUCCUUUCACCAUCGACGAAGGGUUUCUGACGGUAGAUGGAGAAGAAGCACCGGCUAACUACGUGCCAGCAGCCGCGGUAAUACGUAGGGUGCGAGCGUUGUCCGGAAUUACUGGGCGUAAAGAGCUCGUAGGUGGUUUGUCGCGUCGUCUGUGAAAUUCCGGGGCUUAACUCCGGGCGUGCAGGCGAUACGGGCAUAACUUGAGUACUGUAGGGGAGACUGGAAUUCCUGGUGUAGCGGUGAAAUGCGCAGAUAUCAGGAGGAACACCGGUGGCGAAGGCGGGUCUCUGGGCAGUAACUGACGCUGAGGAGCGAAAGCAUGGGGAGCGAACAGGAUUAGAUACCCUGGUAGUCCAUGCCGUAAACGGUGGGCGCUAGGUGUGGGUUUCCUUCCACGGGAUCCGUGCCGUAGCUAACGCAUUAAGCGCCCCGCCUGGGGAGUACGGCCGCAAGGCUAAAACUCAAAGGAAUUGACGGGGGCCCGCACAAGCGGCGGAGCAUGUGGAUUAAUUCGAUGCAACGCGAAGAACCUUACCUGGGCUUGACAUAUACAGGAUCGCGCCAGAGAUGGUGUUUCCCUUGUGGCUUGUAUACAGGUGGUGCAUGGUUGUCGUCAGCUCGUGUCGUGAGAUGUUGGGUUAAGUCCCGCAACGAGCGCAACCCUUGUCUUAUGUUGCCAGCACGUUGUGGUGGGGACUCGUAAGAAACUGCCGGGGUUAACUCGGAGGAAGGUGGGGAUGACGUCAAAUCAUCAUGCCCCUUAUGCCCAGGGCUUCACACAUGCUACAAUGGUCGGUACAGUGGGUUGCCAGUCCGUGAGGGCGAGCUAAUCCCGCAAAGCCGGUCUCAGUUCGGAUCGGGGUCUGCAACUCGACCCCGUGAAGUCGGAGUCGCUAGUAAUCGCAGAUCAGCAACGCUGCGGUGAAUACGUUCCCGGGCCU